CCCAAUCCCCGUGGUGAAAUUUGUGUCAGGGGUCCCAUUGUUUUUCGAGGUUAUCACAAAUAUGAAACUCAGACGAGAGAAGUCAUUGAUGAAGAUGGAUGGCUUCAUACCGGAGAUAUUGGAACGUGGUUACCUGGUGGUAGACUAAAAAUUAUUGACAGGAAGAAAAAUAUAUUUAAGUUGGCUCAAGGCGAGUAUAUUGCUCCUGAGAAGAUUGAAAAUGUAUAUGCCAAAUGCAAGUUUGUGGCGCAAUACUUUGUAUACGGU
Vigna angularis (adzuki bean) is the source of this 267-nucleotide long non-coding RNA. RefSeq lists it as uncharacterized. The transcript is spliced from 3 exons. The record is from RefSeq and is a predicted model, not a curated record. Lineage: Eukaryota; Viridiplantae; Streptophyta; Magnoliopsida; Fabales; Fabaceae.